CUAGCGGCAGGCUUAACACAUGCAAGUCGAGGGGUAACAUUGGGUGUUUACACUCAGAUGACGACCGGCGGAUGGGUGAGUAACGAGUAUGUAACCUACCUGUUACUAAAGGAUAGCCCGAAGAAAUUUGGAUUAAUCCUUUAUGAUAUCUUUUUUUGGCAUCGAUUUAAGAUUAAAGAAUUUUCGGUAAUAGAUGGGCAUGCUUUCUAUUAGAUAGUUGGUAAGGUAAAGGCUUACCAAGUCGACGAUAGAUAGGGGCUCUGAGAGGAUUUCCCCCCACACUGGAACUGAGAACGGUCCAGACUCCUACGGGAGGCAGCAGUGAGGAAUAUUGGGCAAUGGAGGCAACUCUGACCCAGCCAUGCCGCGUGCAGGAUUACGAUCGACAAGAUUUUAAACUGCUUUUAUAAUGGGAAAAUCAUCAAUUUGCGAAUUGAUUUGCUGUUACAUUAUGAAUAAGAAUCGGCUAACUCCGUGCCAGCAGCCGCGGUAAUACGGGGGAUUCAAGCGUUAUCCGGACUUAUUGGGUUUAAAGGGUGCGUAGGCUGAUAAAUCAGUCAGCGGUGAAAUUUACGGGCUUAACUUGUAGCUUGCCGUUGAAACUAUUUAUCUAGAGAUAUUUCGGCGUAUGCGGAAUGUAUCAAGUAGCGGUGAAAUGCAUAGAUAUGCUACAGAACACCAAUCGCGAAGGCAGCAUACGAGGCAUCAUCUGACGCUGAUGCACGAAAGCGUGGGGAUCAAACAGGAUUAGAUACCCUGGUAGUCCACGCUGUAAACUAUGAUAACUAUCUUUUAGCGAUACACAGUUAGAGGGUACGAGAAAUCAUUAAGUUAUCCACCUGGGGAUUACGUUCGCAAGAAUGAAACUCAAAGGAAUUGACGGGGGCCCGCACAAGCGGAGGAGCAUGUGGUUUAAUUCGAUGAUACGCGAGGAACCUUACCCGGGCUCGAACGGUACAUGAAUUAUAUUGGAAACUGUAUAAGUCUUUCGGGACAUGUAUCGAGGUGCUGCAUGGUUGUCGUCAGCUCGUGCCGUGAGGUGUCAGGUUAAGUCCUAUAACGAGCGCAACCCCUAUAUUUAGUUACCAGCACGUAGUGGUGGGGACUCUAGAUAUACUGCCUACGCAAGUAGUGAGGAAGGUGGGGAUGACGUCAAAUCAGCACGGCCCUUAUGUCCGGGGCUACACACGUGCUACAAUGGUCAAAACAGCGGGCAGCUACUCAGUGAUGAGAUGCUAAUCCAUAAAAAUUGAUCACAGUUCGGAUCGAAGUCUGCAACUCGACUUCGUGAAGUUGGAUUCGCUAGUAAUCGCAUAUCAGCCAUGAUGCGGUGAAUACGUUCCCGGGCCUUGUACACACCGCCCGUCAAGCCAUGGAAGCUGGGGGUACCUAAAAUGCGUGACCUACGGGAGCGUAUUAGGGUAAG
This 1426-nucleotide ribosomal RNA is filed under the name uncultured bacterium. Its description in RNAcentral is "bacterial SSU rRNA". It matches the Rfam family "Bacterial small subunit ribosomal RNA". The record is from RNAcentral.